Molecule: ribosomal RNA, 376 nt
Filed under: uncultured bacterium
Lineage: Bacteria
Description: bacterial SSU rRNA
Rfam family: Bacterial small subunit ribosomal RNA
Source: RNAcentral
UACGGAGGGUGCGAGCGUUGUUCGGAAUUAUUGGGCGUAAAGCGCGUGUAGGCGGUCUUUUAAGUCUGAUGUGAAAGCCCCGGGCUCAACCUGGGAAGUGCAUUGGAUACUGGGAGACUUGAAUACGGGAGAGGGUAGUGGAAUUCCUAGUGUAGGAGUGAAAUCCGUAGAUAUUAGGAGGAACACCGGUGGCGAAGGCGGCUACCUGGACCGAUAUUGACGCUGAGACGCGAAAGCGUGGGGAGCAAACAGGAUUAGAUACCCUGGUAGUCCACGCCGUAAACGAUGAGUACUAGGUGUUGCGGGUAUUGUCCCCUGCAGUGCCGCAGCUAACGCAUUAAGUACUCCGCCUGGGAAGUACGGUCGCAAGACUAAA